UGAUAACUAAAAACCCCAAGACUCUCUUUCUCCGUCGAACGCCAUAGGAACCUUCCAUCUCCUCUCCUACACCAUGUGGUGCCUCCCUUCCCUCACCCCAGAUCCGUCGCGGCACCCUCCGACUUACACAAUUCUUCUUCUUCUUCUUCCUCUGCUUCGAUGGCCACUGUGCAACUCCAAUCCCUAACCCUUGUUCACUCUUUCGCACUCCCUUCUGCCACCUUCUCCCCUCUGAUCGCCGUCUCCUGCCCCCGCAACUCCGCUGCGCUACGCCGGCCUCCGGCUCUAGAACCGCUCCUCGCGGUGGAGGUGUCAAGUGCGAGGCAGGAGACACCGUUGUUGAAGCAAAGGCAUAGAAGAGGAUUGAAGAAAUGAAGUAUCGCACUUAGCGCGACCUCUUCGUUUAGCGAAUCAGAACCAUUCAGUCCAAGCAAUCUGCUUGGUGCAUGAAGCCACAUUAGAAGAUAGAUGUUGCGCGCAUCUUGCAACUUAGGACGUGACCACUUAAUCCAGUUGAACAUGCGCGCUCAGUGCGAACGUCGCACUAUGCGCACAAGAAAGUUCUGAUUGACCAAUCAAUUGGUGGAGUAUUUAAAAGGAAUGAAACAUUCAAAACAAAUACUCGGCAACGGAGAAAGCCAAGAAGCAAAGGAGUAGGAAGCAAAAAAGUCAUUGUUGAAGGGAAUCCAUUUCUAAAGCUCUGGUCGAUCCGUUUCACUCUAUUUCUCUUCCAUUUUCUUUCAUCUCAUCUCAUCUCAUCUUUUAUGUUUGUAGGUCUCUCAUUACAAUUUGAGGCUAAAAUCACACGUUGUUGGAAGCUCUGCAAACUAAAUCCUCUUUGAUGUAAUAAUUCUAAACUAUUUAUUAAUAUGAUAUUGAUAUUCUUGUUCUUUCAUGUGCUCAUUCA
Glycine soja is the source of this 907-nucleotide long non-coding RNA. RefSeq lists it as uncharacterized. Lineage: Eukaryota; Viridiplantae; Streptophyta; Magnoliopsida; Fabales; Fabaceae. The record is from RefSeq and is a predicted model, not a curated record. The transcript is spliced from 2 exons.